GAUGAACGCUGGCGGCGUGCUUAACACAUGCAAGUCGAACGGUGAAGGCGGAGCUUUCUCUGCUGGAUCAGUGGCGAACGGGUGAGUAACACGUGAGCAAUCUGCCCCUGACUCUGGGAUAAGCGCUGGAAACAGCGUCUAAUACUCGAUACGAGCUGCGAAGGCAUCUUCAGCAGCUGGAAAGAAUUUCGGUCAGGGAUGAGCUCGCGGCCUAUCAGCUUGUUUGUGUGGUAAUGGCUCACCAAGGGUUCGACGGGUAGCCGGCCUGAGAGGGUGAACGGGGACAAUGGGACUGAGAGACGGACCAGACUGCUACGGGAGGCAGCAGUGGGGAGUAUUGCACAGUGGGCGAACGUGUGAUGCAGCAACGCUGCGUGAGGGAAGACGGCCUUCGGGUUGUAAACCUAUUUUAGCAGGGAAGAAGCGAAAGUGACGGUACCUGCAGAAAAAGCGCCGGCUAACUACGUG
RNAcentral lists this ribosomal RNA (468 nucleotides) under uncultured bacterium. Its description in RNAcentral is "partial 16S ribosomal RNA". It matches the Rfam family "Bacterial small subunit ribosomal RNA", at positions 28 to 507 of the family's 1533-position model. The record is from RNAcentral.